Molecule: long non-coding RNA, 1214 nt
Organism: Argiope bruennichi
Lineage: Eukaryota; Metazoa; Arthropoda; Arachnida; Araneae; Araneidae
Exons: 4
Source: RefSeq, a predicted model, not a curated record
CUUUAAACUUCUGCUGCGGGGGUUCAAGCUUCCUCCGGUUAACGAGUCUCAUAUUGAAACUGUUAAGUAAGCUUAAUCUAAUUCUCAGUAUAAGAAAUGCGUUUUUAUUUUUAAAAACGUAUGCUGCAUAAUACUGUAUUAUGAAAAUUGCUGCGCAAUCGAAUAAUUUCGGCAUUUCUUUUAUUAAGCAAGAAAUAAAAUAGGACUAACGCAGUAGCUGCUGUUACUUCUCAUAAUAAAAAAGGAAUAUGUUGAUUGAUGGUAGUCAUUUUAGAAGAUACUAUUGUUACGCUAAAUUAUGUGUGAAGUUUUGAAGGUUUAAUUCAAUCUGUUGCUCACUAAUACAUUAUUGAAAAGAUUGCAUUUAAGAGCUUUAUGUGAAAGAAUGUGACCACUCUUUCAUUUGUUGAAUUCCAAAAUUGCGUUGUCACGAAUCUAAUGCCUUGCUAAUGAGAAAAGCUGAUAAAUCAUCAUAUUUUUCGCAAUAAAAUUGGCUACAAUAAGAAAGGAUUGACUUUUGAAAGAUCCACAAUCCGAACUUGCAACAUACAACAUAUCUCGAUGGAAUCGAGAAUCAUGAAAUAAUAAAUUCCCCAAUACAUCUGUUUAGAAAUUUUUAAUUAAGCUAUAAUUUUUAUUAUUUAUUAGUGCAUAUGGGUGAGUAUUGUUACUGACAUAUAAAAAGGAAUUUUAUUCUUAUGAUCCAUGCUAUAAAACAUUCUUCCAAAAAUUACAUUCAAAAUUUCCCCUUUUGAGUAACAUAAUGAAGAAACUUCAUUUUUGACAUAUAUGGACAACGACAUUUAAAUUGUGCCCAUCAUGAAAAUUUUAUUGGCAAUCUGGAAUUAAAGAGUUGUCUCGUGCUUGUGUCAUACAGAAAGAAAUGUUUCGCAAACGGAAUUUUCUCAUUGCCCACUUAAUGUAAAAGCCAUAUGCUUGCAAAUUUUGUGAUAUUUUCUCAGCUUCAGAAUUUAAAGAAACGUUUACUGGUGCAUACUGAGGAGAAAACACUUACCUGUGACAUUUGUGUCAAAGAAAUUUUUCAACGAUCACAUUUAAAAUUCCAUUUAAUGUCGCAUCUACCCUUGAACAAGGAAUACUACCCUUGUAAUUUUUGCAGCAAAAUCUUUACUGUGAUUUCCAAAUUCAAAAGACAUUUACGGACGCAUACAAAAGAGAAACUGUUUAAAUGCGAGUUUUGCAAGAAAGCCUUU